This is a long non-coding RNA of Carya illinoinensis, 2531 nucleotides long. RefSeq lists it as uncharacterized. The record is from RefSeq and is a predicted model, not a curated record. NCBI's taxonomy places the organism in Eukaryota, Viridiplantae, Streptophyta, Magnoliopsida, Fagales, Juglandaceae. The transcript has 2 exons.
UUAGGUUUUCAACAGCGUGCAUGCAUAGGUAACCAUACACUUGGAUCAUAUUCACGCAGCAGUUCCUGCCACCACGAAGACCCACGUCUCACGACCUUACACAGUUUUUGUAUUUGUGCAAUUGCUCAUCACCGCACAACCACCCAACAGUUACUCCUUCCCGUCACUCUAUUGAAGUAUAUAAACAGUUAUUGUAAAUAAUUAAGUCUUACAAAACCUUUAAUUGUAAAUUUACUUUAUUGCAAGUGUGCUGCACGUGUAUUUCAUUCCUUGUAUAUAUAGUUGGACUACUCUGUACAUUACUACUUGUGCAUUUUACUUUUACAGAAGAUUAGUUUUUCUCUCCAUCUGUGUUCUUGAGCUUUUCUUGAGUUUCUUGAACUUCUUGGGUGAUCGGAUGAUUCCAGAUUGAUUCUCCUAGACACUUGCUCCUAAUUUUUUAUUUUUCUUUCCCACUUGUCCGCUCCUCCCCACGUGCAAGAAGUUCCCUGCAUCAAGCGCGGCAAGUGCAUGGUAACCGCUGCCCCGUUGCACAUAACCACCUUCCUCCUUUUUCAUUAUCCCUUUCCCGUGCGCUCCUUCGAUGCCAGGCAUUUCGGUUUCUCAAUACACUUCACCUUGUAGAUGCUCUCUCUCCCUCGCUCUCUUUCAUCUGUGAUUUCUAGGACCAAACUGAGAGCUACUGCCGCCCAAAGCCACCAUACGUGAAUUCCUUCAAGCACGGCAACUCCAACCUCCUCGCAAGGCGCUGCUUCACAUCGGAGACUCCAUGACAACAGGCCAGCCCUUUCCGUCGUCACAACCAUGCAGCGAGAACCACCACCAAAACUCCGUCGUGCACAACCCAACCCAGCCUCUGUUUUCUUACACCUGAAACAGAGCACCCCAAAGCCAUCCACCGCCCUCCCCUCUCAAAAAUCUCUCAUCAGUUCAGUUAUUUUCUCAUGGCGUUCUCUUCCCCGAAUCCUAUUCCUUCCACACGCACUUUCGGUUUCCUCACCUUCAAGAGUUUUUUUUUUUUUCCUUUCCUCUCAACAGACCCUCUUGCGCCUCACUUGUACUAGUGAAAUUGGUGCUGGGAUUUUUGGUAGGAUUUCGGAUUUUGAGUUGCUGAGUUGAACCCAAGGUAAGCACUAGUUUCCUCUUUCACUCUCUCUCCCUCUCUUUUUCUCGCGUUCCCUCAAAAAUUUGGAUCUCUCUUUUCUUUCUGUGUUUUACCCAACCGGAUUCGUCUCAGUUGGUGGGUAUUGCAGCAGUUUUUGGGUUACUCCCGUACCUCUAGUUAAAGUCGACAACAGUGCAUCGUUGCCGUCCAACGAUAGCUUUGAAUUUUCUCUUCCUCCUCGCGCCGGUUAGCAUCCCUCACCGUUAAUCCCAUUGUUUUAUUUCCCUGUCGCUUCCCCUUUUGAUUUCUCUCAAGUUAUUUUCUCCACCUCCCUCCCGGCAUCAGACCCAUUUAUUCAUCUAGUUUUAAUUUCUUUACUGCAACCUACAGAUUCCUAUCCUUUAAAGCCUAAACUUGCCAACACGUGCUUGGGACCACAUUAGACAUGAUUCCUUCUCUCAGUUCAGGGUUGUUUUUCAUUGCAAAUGUCGCAGCUUCUGUAAGUAGUAAUACUUGACAAGACCAAACUUUUGAGCUAAAUUACCUUAGGGCCAUUUCUUUUCCCUCCAGAUAAUACUUUAUUAUUCUCAAGUUGAAGUUGACUUAGCUUUUUCAUGAAAAGUGUCAUGCAAUCACUGAUGAAAUCUAUAUAAAAAGGAAAGAAAUAUAUUUUGACAUGAAUAGUAUAAAUAUGAACAAUAUUUAACAUGUUUUGAAAUGUAAGAAAGAGUGGAUAUGAAAUUUGAGAUUUUUAUUCAUGUGAUAUGAAAUCUUUUGCAUCUAUUAUUGAUCAUUUAAAAAUAAUAUGAACAUAUUCCGCAUGUGAUUUGAUAUAACAAGAAUAUGAAAAAUCUUUAGCAUAUUUAUAAUAUGUUAUUAUUCUGAUUCUGAAUAUGGUUCUGAUACGAUGAUAUUGGUACCAACAUAAUAUAAUAUGAUAUGAGUGUACCUAUUUUGAAAACAAAGUGAUUUUUUAUGUGUUCUUUUAUGGUAGUACACAAACACCUUGUCUUAAAAAAAGCACUGAAGUGGUAGAUAUAACAUACCAGCAGAAGCGACUCUAAGAGCAUGCCGGAAAUGAAGAGACAAUUGCUCCAUUAAUGGAGGCACAGAGAAGACAACAUAUCACGAGUACUACCGGGAAGAAGAAGAAGAAAGGCCAGGGUCUGGGAACCGCGCUAACUGUUACGAGUGGAAAAGGCAUUUGCGAUUCUUGCUGUUGGGCGUCGAGAGUCGCAACUGUUUGCGUUUUAAUUAUUGGUAUAUAGCAGAUGAUCAUUAAUUAGAAAGAGCAUGCAUCUCAUAUAGAUACUGUUGAUAUACAGAUGCAUUUUCGACAGAGAAUGUUGCUUCAGAAAACACGCUGUUUCGAGGAAUUUUUUGAAGUCUGAUUUAGUAAUAUAAUAGAUCUGGUCCAAGUAUUACA